GGAAUAAAAGUCGUAAUAAGGUUUCCGUAGGUGAACCUGCGGAAGGAUCAUUAUUGUAUAACCGAGGUGCGAGGGCUGUCGCUGACCCGAAAGGUCGUGCACGCCCGAGUGCCCUCACACACAUCCAUCUCACCCCUAUGUGCACCACCGCGUGGGUCCCCCUUUGGCUUGUUCGGAGGGGGGCUUACGUUUUCACACAAACUUUGUAUGCAGUGUAGAAUGUAUUUUUUGUUUUUGCGAUCACGCAAUCAAUACAACUUUCAACAACGGAUCUCUUGGCUCUC
RNAcentral lists this unclassified non-coding RNA (284 nucleotides) under plant metagenome. RNAcentral's name for it is "partial contains small subunit ribosomal RNA, internal transcribed spacer 1, and 5.8S ribosomal RNA". The stretch from base 1 to 53 matches the Rfam family "Eukaryotic small subunit ribosomal RNA", at positions 1779 to 1831 of the family's 1831-position model. The record is from RNAcentral.